This 1111-nucleotide long non-coding RNA is filed under the name Homo sapiens (human). RNAcentral's name for it is "HSALNT0139114". Lineage: Eukaryota; Metazoa; Chordata; Mammalia; Primates; Hominidae. The record is from RNAcentral.
GUAAAGGAAAUACGUGAACAUUUGUUGAUUAUUAAUAUGGUUUGGCUGUGUCCCCACCAAAUCUCAACUUAAAUUGUAUCUCCCAGAAUUCCCACAUGUCACAGGAGGGACCCAGGUGGAGGUAAUUGAAUCGUGGUCGGGCGGGGGGGAAGGGGGUGGUCUUGCCGUGCUGUUCUCGUGAUAGUGAGUACCUCUCACGAGAUCUGAUGAGUUUAUCAGGAGUUUCCGCUUUUGCUUCUUCCUCAUCGUCUCUUGCCGCUGCCAUGAAAGGAGUGCUUUUUGCCUCCCACCAUGAUUCUGAGGCCUCCCCAGCCAUGUAGAAUUAGCCAGCCUGUUUUUGAUGAAGAGCAACUGUACUGGAGAGAAAGCCUGUAUUCAUAUUCAUCGUCAUCAGGCAAAUCGAGGAGCUGACUUGCUUAGGAUCACUUUACAGAAUUCUUUCUCAAGAGGAUUUAGACUCCUUUUCUAUUGAUAGGGCAUAAGAAUUGACUCAGACCUAGAAACUGGCUGGGACCAUCUCAUAAUGUUUGUGUACAUUCCUGUUGUCUUCUACCUCCCAUCCACCGUGUCUCUCUACUGCCUAUAACCAGCCUACAUAAGUUCUUUCAAGAGAUCAAGAAAGAAACAGAAAUCUAGACAGAGAAGGUGAAAAAGAGAAGACCUAACAGAGAGCUAAGAAAGAUAAAUGUGAUUGGAGAGGAAACUAUCCCCAAUUCUCUCUUCAUUGACAUUUGGGGCUGUACCAGUUUACAUUUUCACCAACAUUCCCACCAUUGUGGUGGCCAGCAACUGAGGAGGCUGAGAUAAGUGGAUUCCCUGAGCCCAGGAGGUGGAGGUUGCAGUUAGCCAAGAUUGCGUCACUGCACUCCAGCCUAGGCAACAGAGUGAGACCUGUCUCAAAAAAAAAAAAAAAAAAGAGUUAAAUUAAAAAAUAAAUAAAAGUCAUUUGACCAUAUAUGUGAUUGUUUAUUUCUUGCUCUCCAUCUAUUCUAUUUACCUAUAUAUCUAUCUUUAUUCCAGUACAAUGCUGUUUUUAUUAUUGUAACUUUGAAAAAAAAUUUUAAAAUCUAGAAGUGUGAUCUUUAACUUUUGUUCUUUUUCAAAAUUGUUU